Molecule: ribosomal RNA, 50 nt
Filed under: Aquimarina brevivitae
Lineage: Bacteria; Pseudomonadati; Bacteroidota; Flavobacteriia; Flavobacteriales; Flavobacteriaceae
Source: RNAcentral
CGUUAGCGCCAAUGGUACUACAAUCGUGGGAGAGUAGGUCGCCGCCUUCC